CAACAAUAUUGGAAUCCAAACUUAAAGAUUGCAGUUUAUUGAUUGAUGUGCAACAGUGUCAAAAGCCUUACUGAAAUCUAGGUAAGCAAUGUCUACUGCACCACUCUGAUCUAUAAUUUUAGUUACCCAAUCAAAAAAAUCAGUAAGAUUAGUUUGGCAUCAUCUCCCUGAAGUAAACCCAUGUUGUCUCUGAUCUUGAAAUCCAUGUGUUUUUAGAUGUUCAACAAUCCUAUCCUUUAGCAUGGUUUCCAUCACUUUCCCCACUACUGAAGUAAGGCUUACUGGCCUAUAGUUGCCCGACUCCUCCCUAUUACCGUUCUUGUGAAUGGGCACAACAUUCGCUAACUUCCAAUCUUCUGUGACUACUCCUGUUAACAAUGAUUGGUUGAAUAAAUCUGUUUAUGGUUUUGCUAGUAUACCACUAAGCUAUUUUAAUAGCUUUGGGUGUAUUCCAUCAGGUCCCAUUUACUUAUUUGUCUUUACUUUUGACAGGUGAAAUAGAACCUCUUCCUCUGUAAACUCACGUGUAAUAAAUGACUCAUUUAUCCUUUUUCUUAACUGAGGUCCCUUUCCUUCAUUUUCAUCUGUAAAUACAGAACACAAAUAUUCAUUGAGGCAGUCAGCUAAAUCUUUAUCCUCUUCUACACCCCUAUCUAUUGCUUGUAAGAAAUGUGUUCAGUAGCUUGACAAAGGCCCUAGGGGUCGAAACUUUGUUUUUUAGUUCUUGGGUCCAAUAAAAUUGCCUAUCUUUUGGAACAUUUGGAGUGCCUGGAUUACUUUCUACAAUUAUACUAUAUAUUUGGUCUCUUUGGUACUGGGACUGAUCAGGAGCACCCUAGUAUUCCAAAGCAAAGGGUUGAGUGCAGUUCAACUAACUGUAUAUGGACUUUUUGAUAUUUUGACAUAUCCUUUAUUUAUAUUAAUGCCAUGAAUAAAAAAUAUUAUCUAAGACUUAAAGGGACACUACAAUCACUAGAACAACUACGGCUGAAUGUAGGUGUUCUAGUGAGUAUAGCAUGUAUCUGCAGGCAUUUUCAUGUAAACACUGCCUUUUCAAAGAAAAGGCAGUGUUUACAUUACUGCCUAAGGACACCUCUAGUGGCAGUCACUUAGACGACCACUAGAGUAGCUUCCUGGAUGUGCAGCACUAACAUUCAGAUUUUCAGAGUCCCCACGCUCUGCAUGGAGGUACUGAGCUUUCACCAUAGAAAAUGCAUUAAUUAAAUGCAUCUUUAAAGAGAUGCUGAUUGCCCAAUGCAACAUGUGCUAUAUCCUCCUAAUGCCUUGAAAAGCAUUGGAUUGGCUAAGAUUGUCAAUUCUGAUGAUCUUAGACAAGGAGGCAGAGCCAGUGCCAGUGGAUCCUUAUUCACUGAGUUCAAGCUACAUUUUUAAC
Molecule: non-coding RNA, 1393 nt
Organism: Pelobates cultripes (western spadefoot toad)
Lineage: Eukaryota; Metazoa; Chordata; Amphibia; Anura; Pelobatidae
Source: the annotation of a GenBank genome assembly